GACGAACGCUGGCGGCGUGCUUAACACAUGCAAGUCGAACGGAAAGGCCCUGCUUUUGUGGGGUGCUCGAGUGGCGAACGGGUGAGUAACACGUGAGUAACCUGCCCUUGACUUUGGGAUAACUUCAGGAAACUGGGGCUAAUACCGGAUAGGAGCUCCUGCUGCAUGGUGGGGGUUGGAAAGUUUCGGCGGUUGGGCAUGGACUCGCGGCUUAUCAGCUUGUUGGUGGGGUAGUGGCUUACCAGGGCGGUGACGGGUAGCCGAACGCAGAGGGUGACCGGCCGCCCUGGGAGGGAGACCCGCACCAGAGUGCUACAGGAGGCAGCAGUAGGGAAUCGGCGGCAAUGGACGGAAGUCUGACCGAGCGGCGCCGCGUGAGUGAAGAAGGUCGCCGGGUCGUGAAGCGCUGUUGUGGGAGAAGAACGCGUGUGCGCGUGGAAAGUGCAGAGUGGGACGGUAUCUGAAAAGAAAGCGACGGCUAACUACGUG
Molecule: ribosomal RNA, 489 nt
Filed under: uncultured bacterium
Lineage: Bacteria
Description: partial 16S ribosomal RNA
Rfam family: Bacterial small subunit ribosomal RNA
Source: RNAcentral